GCUCCGUUGGUGAACCAGCGGAGGGAUCAUUACCGAGUUUACAACUCCCAAACUCCAUGUGAACCUUACCAAACGUUGCUUCGGCGGGAUGCCCCGGGCGCGGGCCGCAAGGCCUCAGCCCCGGAACCAGGCGCCCGCCGGAGGCCCAAACCAAACUCUUGUUUUUGUAGAAUCUUCUGAGUGGCCUUUUAGGCAAAAAAUGAAUCAAAACUUUCAACAACGGAUCUCUUGGUUCUG
RNAcentral lists this unclassified non-coding RNA (237 nucleotides) under plant metagenome. RNAcentral's name for it is "partial contains small subunit ribosomal RNA, internal transcribed spacer 1, and 5.8S ribosomal RNA". The record is from RNAcentral.